RNAcentral lists this transfer RNA (71 nucleotides) under Endocarpon pusillum Z07020. RNAcentral describes it as "tRNA-Asp (GTC) (tRNA-Asp-GTC-1-1)". It matches the Rfam family "tRNA". From Rfam's summary of the family: Transfer RNA (tRNA) molecules are approximately 80 nucleotides in length. The record is from RNAcentral. Lineage: Eukaryota; Fungi; Ascomycota; Eurotiomycetes; Verrucariales; Verrucariaceae.
UCUCCGGUGGUGUAAAGGUAGCAUAUAUCCUUGUCGCGGAUAUGAUCUGAGUUCAAUUCUCAGCUGGAGAG